Molecule: ribosomal RNA, 497 nt
Filed under: uncultured bacterium
Lineage: Bacteria
Description: partial 16S ribosomal RNA
Rfam family: Bacterial small subunit ribosomal RNA
Source: RNAcentral
GAUGAACGCUGGCGGCGUGCCUAAUACAUGCAAGUCGAGCGAACAGACGAGGAGCUUGCUCCUCUGACGUUAGCGGCGGACGGGUGAGUAACACGUGGAUAACUUACCUAUAAGACUGGGAUAACUUCGGGAAACCGGAGCUAAUACCGGAUAAUAUAUUGAACCGCAUGGUUCAAUAGUGAAAGACGGUUUUGCUGUCACUUAUAGAUGGAUCCGCGCCGCAUUAGCUAGUUGGUAAGGUAACGGCUUACCAAGGCAACGAUGCGUAGCCGACCUGAGAGGGUGAUCGGCCACACUGGAACGGAGACACGGUCCAGACUCCUACGGGAGGCAGCAGUAGGGAAUCUUCCGCAAAGGGCGAAAGCCUGACGGAGCAACGCCGCGUGAGUGAUGAAGGUCUUCGGAUCGUAAAACUCUGUUAUUAGGGAAGAACAAAUGUGUAAGUAACUAUGCACGUCUUGACGGUACCUGAUCAGAAAGCCACGGCUAACUACGUG